RNAcentral lists this ribosomal RNA (257 nucleotides) under uncultured bacterium. Its description in RNAcentral is "partial 16S ribosomal RNA". It matches the Rfam family "Bacterial small subunit ribosomal RNA", at positions 524 to 776 of the family's 1533-position model. The record is from RNAcentral.
GACAGAGGAUGCAAGCGUUAUCCGGAAUGAUUGGGCGUAAAGCGUCUGUAGGUGGCUUUUUUAAGUCCGCCGUCAAAUCCCAGGGCUCAAACCCUGGACAGGCGGUGGAAAACUACCAAGCUGGAGUACGGGUAGGGGCAGAGGGAAUUUCCGGUGGAGCGGUGAAAAUGCGUAGAGAUCGGAAAGAACACCAACGGCGAAAGCACUCUGCUGGGCCGACACUGACACUGAGAGACGAAAGCUAGGGAGCGAAUGGG